ACGCUCGACACCUACGGGAUGCAGCAGUGGGGAAUAUUGCACAAUGGGGGAAACCCUGAUGCAGCAACGCCGCGUGAGUGAAGAAGUAUUUCGGUAUGUAAAGCUCUAUCAGCAGGGAAGAUAAUGACGGUACCUGACUAAGAAGCUCCGGCUAAAUACGUGCCGGCAGCCGCGGUAAUCUGAGCGGGCUGGCAAGGC
This 198-nucleotide ribosomal RNA is filed under the name uncultured bacterium. RNAcentral describes it as "partial 16S ribosomal RNA". It matches the Rfam family "Bacterial small subunit ribosomal RNA", at positions 326 to 539 of the family's 1533-position model. The record is from RNAcentral.